This is a long non-coding RNA of Neopelma chrysocephalum (saffron-crested tyrant-manakin), 4535 nucleotides long. RefSeq lists it as uncharacterized. The record is from RefSeq and is a predicted model, not a curated record. NCBI's taxonomy places the organism in Eukaryota, Metazoa, Chordata, Aves, Passeriformes, Pipridae. The transcript is spliced from 3 exons.
UACCCUGACCAAGAAGAGACAACAAUUAAAAACUGCAAUUAAAGCAACAUCCCAGUUUGAAAAUGAAUGCCAUUUUCUGCCCAUCCUCCCUGCUCUGUUACCAAUAAAACACUUACAGACACUAUUCAUGCAGACAUAAAGUGCUAAUGGCUACCUGUUAACGUGUUUCAUCAUGCCAACAUUUUUGCUCUGAUUUUGACAGUUCCCUUUUUGUUAUUUUAAGCUAAGGGAGCACUAAUCUGGGUUGGAACUGAAGGCUGCAAGAAUUACAAUCUACAGCAACUGCACAACUAAUGACACCAUUUCCUUCCACUCUGCACCAUUUCAUGGACAGUUUUCUUGCAGCCAAGCUCCUUUCCAGACUAUAAGAAGUUGGAAGUGCCAGAGCAUAGAAGUAGGGUGGGAAGAUUGUAAGAUGUUGCUAAGAAGUCCCAGGAAUUCUUGGCCCGGUCCUGUGUGUUUGGGGGUCGAUGGGGGGGGAAGAGAGCAAUGUGAACACCAAAAUCAAACGUACUGGGAAAGUCACUUUGAAUGGCUUAAGGAGAAAAAAAAUUAAGUGGUCAUUCUUAUAUGACUUCAGGGAUGAGUCUUCAGGGCUAGAACAACUGCUGGUGCAAAUUGGCCAUGUGAUUUACACCUCAAGGGCUGCCCUAGGUGUGACUACAGGCGGUUCACCAGCUCUUCUGGAUGUGGAAAGAACAAAACUCCUUGGGUAUCACCUCAGCAGUCGCUGACUCCAGCUGGACAUUUGGACAGGUACCUGAUGCCUGGUGUCCUCCACACUCAAAAAUGUGCUGGGCUUGUCUCUGCGUGCCCCACAUGAGCACACACUGAGAAUACGCCCACUGACAUCCAUGGUGUUACAGCAGGUGAAAAUCUGCUUGUGUGGAAGAAGAGCCUGGUCCUCUGUGAUUACCAACAGCACGGGUCAGAGCCAUGAUCUGAUUUUCCACGGAGCAGGAGAAGAGUAGAAGCUCUCUGGUCUCCAGAGCAGUUGCAGCCCUGCAGAGAUACCCAGCGGCUUUGAGCAUACACACAGGGACAAUUCCUUUCCCCAGCUUUGCAACUGUUUGUUAGAGCAAAUUAAGAGUGCUAACAAGUCUUACUGGAGCCCAUUGCAAGGAGGUUAAGAAACGCGACUUAUCUGAUGCAAUCAGCAAUGUAAUGCAACCUCCCAAGCCCCAGUUCAGGCAAAAUAUAUGCAAGUAACCAAAAGGGAUGAGCAUAACCUUGAGGGAAGAGUUGGGGAUGCUCCAAUCCAACCUGCAAUGCCAGAAAGACAAGAGAGCACAGCAUGGAACAGAAAAUUCCCCGCCUGCUUUGUGUCUUUUGCUGCUUCCAAGGACUCCCACUCUGUUCAGGCCAGAAAGAGGACACCGGUUUGGAAGGAUCUCUAGUCUGACUCAACAUGGGUAGUUUUUAAUUUUUUAUGAAAAAGACUGCUCUGCAGUACAAGCAUCACAACAGGUCGAGGCUGCCUCAUCUGCAGACCCCUUACGCUCCCGGGAUCCUGACCAUGAUGCUCCCAGGAUCCUGACCAUGAUGCUCCCAGGAUCCUGACCAUGAUGCUCCCAGGAUCCUGAUCAUGAUAGGAUUUAAAAGCCCUUUGUUGGGCUGUGUUACAUGGUGUGAUCUAGAAAGCCGUCACAGCCGAGGCACCGUGGGCUUUCGGCUGCGCCGACGCUCGGGCUCCCCCCUUGCCUACACUGGACUUUGAGAAGGCGUUGAGCCAGCUCAGAUAAGUCAGCACUUUCUAUCAACACCCCUUCCAAGCCAAGCUGCACAUUGCGACGCCUCUCCCAGCACGGGUUGGUGGAGCUGGGCUUCACCCUGGCACAGCUCCCAGACAAAAGGUGGGCUGCUCCACCAUGCUGCUCCAGCAUGCUGGCCCACUGUCCUCUCCUGGCAGCGUCCUUCCCAUCCCAAACACAAACAAAUGGGUGAGGAGCAGGUGACAGAAGCGUUACAGAUGCCUAAAAUGGUUUAGAGUGAUCUACGAGCAUCUUUUGGUUGUAAUGCUCCAUUAAUGUGACAUUUAUGUGGGGUAAUAUAAUACCGCUCACUUAGGAGCACCUACAUCAGCCAGUCAGGUUUCCCUGUGCACAAAGGAUGACAUGGAUAACUGGGAGGGUUCUUGCGUGGCCACAGACCCUACAGAUGGAGUUACAGGGGACAGGAGGCACCACUGCUCAAAGGGGACAUGCUGGGUCUCUCCCUGAGGGAGUGGAGAACGGAGCAAUGUCUCAGGAGGCAGAACGAGAGAGCUGCAAACAGGGAAAAAAAAAAAACCCAGCUUGAACUUAUGGAGCUGAACAGUCCCUCUCUGCAGAACAGGAAACACAGUACCCAAGGAAGGUCUGCCCCAGUCCAAAGGCACAGCCUUGCUGUCAUCUCCACACAACCUGCAGCGUAGUUUGGGCAUCCAUCUGAUUUCACAGCAUGCAGUGUUACACUCUGUAGCUAAAUCCACCUCUAAUGUCACACAGGCCUUGUAAGGGCUCCUGUUUGGUUACCCUGAUUUAUAAACACCACUGCAGUGGGCUGGAGAAGGGAUGGCCUCGCAACCGCAAGCCUUCGUUAUCCCCCACAAAUUACUUGUUUGCAGCUCUUGAACUGCCUAAUUUAUUUUGCCCCUAUGUUUUGGCCAUCCAUCUAGUCUUUUCCUAAUGGUGCUCCGAACGCUGACACUUUGGGAAACCUCUAAAAUGCUGUAACCCUCACACGGCCCCGCCGAGGUGAAAGGACCAAGGGCAACCGCUGAAUCUUCCCAGAACAACAGAGGGAUCAUCCAUCUCCUCUUCCCUCCUCCCCGCCCACCACUCCACCCCAGGCACUGUUCCCAUCUCAGUGUGCUUGAGCAAAGCACAAAACCAGGCGAGAUGUGGGCACCUCAGCACCUCUGGAUGUCGAAGGCCACAGACUGUACCCGGUGACCUGGAAGGUGUCCCCCCCCAGACAUUUGCUCCUACAGCUCUGCCUCUAAGAAAAACCAUCAGAGAAAAAAAUCACAAGGCCGGCUGAGUUUGGGUUGUGGCAAUGCCAUUUGGAGAAGAAGUGGGAAAAUCAAUAGGUACAGUCUGCAUUUCGGGCAAUGGGGGAGGAAUUUAAACCAAAAUUGAGUCUGAUCAAAAACUCAAGUCAACAGAAAGAAUUUCACAGGUUUCAUCAUUUAAGUGCUCACUGAGUAGAAAAUGAACAAUCAGCACUUUGGAAUAAAUGCAACAAGUAUCACAGGGUGUUGUCACCAGCCUUUUGUGGGACACCCACGAAUCCAGAAGAGGCAUCUAGUGUCACAGGGAAAAUGCUGAGGACACAGAAAGUGUCACCGAAGGACAGGCAGAACAAACACAGAACAAACUCCUACCAACAGAUUAAAUUCAUGUCACGGUAUUUUACCCACAUUUUGCACUAGUCAGAUACCUUGAAAUAUGUGCACGCAACCAGAGCCACGACACCAGACCUUUAAAGACCUGAGAGCCGCAGAUUAAAAACAUGUUGGAACGCUUACCGUGUCCAGUGCCAAAAAUGUGUCUCUAACCUGUAGGAAGAAAUGGGUGUGGAGCCGCUCACAGAACGAUCACUGCACUCACACAGCAGGGUACAAUGUCCCCCUCUUUGUUUCUCCCUUGUGAGAAAAAACAGCUACUAAAAUAUGACCGAGGAGCUGCUUCAGCUCCCCCAAAUUUUUUGAGAAGUACACAGAUUCGGAUGGGAAAACGAGGUGGGAAUUAGAGCAAUCCCACGUAAUUCACAAAGACUGAAGCCACUUUGCCAUGGACCAACACGAACCACUGAUCUCAGUGCUCAGUUGGUGCUUGCUGCUUCUUUUUGGGGACUUCAGUCAGCUCCUGCGUGGCACUGAAGCGCUGCGAGUAGAUACAAAAACGUACACAAAGCCUAAAAGUAUUUCAUUGGAAUUGAAGCUCAAUUUACAGCUCCCGAGACUCAAGGGUGUGUUUGAGCAGCUCUUUGUUGCAGGGUUUUGUCAAGGUAUGUUCUGACUUGUCCCCUGCAUGGUUGUGCAGUAAUUCUUGAUACUGAUAGUCAAUUACUUUGUUCACGUCACUCAGAGACUUUUUUUUUCCUUUCUUUCUCUCUGCAUGGCUAAUCCAGGAAAGACAACACAGAGCUAAACCACUGCUGCCAAAGGCAUGAACUCCUGGCCAGUUGGGGUGGUGCUGCCCUCCAGCCCUGCCAGCACAGGUAGCAAAGUGACCUCUGGAGCAAAGAGCCCUCCUUAUCUCUCUUAAAAUACCAGUGGGCCCAGGCUCCGAAAAACUUCCUUCCCGACGGGAUAAGCACUUACCCAGGUAAUCUCAUUACAGCCAUUGUUCUCUGAAGGUUAAUAAAUACUUACCAUGAUGAGUAAAGGCUCCGCAAUCUGACCCCAACAGCAGCAGAAGUGAUUGCUUAGGGCCAAAUUUUCAUACUCUUAUUAUGCUGAACACCAUAUUCCUCUGCGAGCAGAGCAGCGUUAGCACCAAAAUAAAUGUGACUGCUUGCAAAUAAGGUGUUGGCCCCACUUCUGGCCUCAA